This 796-nucleotide ribosomal RNA is filed under the name uncultured archaeon. RNAcentral describes it as "bacterial SSU rRNA". It matches the Rfam family "Archaeal small subunit ribosomal RNA", at positions 85 to 879 of the family's 1478-position model. The record is from RNAcentral.
ACUGCUCAGUAACACGUGGAUAACCUGCCCUUGGGUCCGGCAUAACCCCGGGAAACUGGGGAUAAUUCCGGAUAACGCAUAUGUGCUGGAAUGCUUUAUGCGUCAAAUGGAUUCGUCUGCCCAAGGAUGGGUCUGCGGCCUAUCAGGUAGUAGUGGGUGUAAUGUACCUACUAGCCGACAACGGGUACGGGUUGUGAGAGCAAGAGCCCGGAGAUGGAUUCUGAGACAUGAAUCCAGGCCCUACGGGGCGCAGCAGGCGCGAAAACUUUACAAUGCGGGAAACCGUGAUAAGGGGACACCGAGUGUCAGCAUCAUAUGCUGGCUGUCCAGGUGUGUAAAAUACACCUGUUAGCAAGGGCCGGGCAAGACCGGUGCCAGCCGCCGCGGUAACACCGGCGGCCCGAGUGGUGAUCGUGAUUAUUGGGUCUAAAGGGUCCGUAGCCGGUUUGGUCAGUCCUCCGGGAAAUCUGAUUGCUCAACUAUUAGGCUAUCGGGGGAUACUGCCAGACUUGGAACCGGGAGAGGUAAGAGGUACUACAGGGGUAGGAGUGAAAUCUUGUAAUCCCUGUGGGACCACCUGUGGCGAAGGCGUCUUACCAGAACGGGUUCGACGGUGAGGGACGAAAGCUGGGGGCACGAACCGGAUUAGAUACCCGGGUAGUCCCAGCCGUAAACGAUGCUCGCUAGGUGUCAGGCAUGGCGCGACCGUGUCUGGUGCCGCAGGGAAGCCGUGAAGCGAGCCACCUGGGAAGUACGGCCGCAAGGCUGAAACUUAAAGGAAUUGGCGGGGGAGCAC